This 1237-nucleotide ribosomal RNA is filed under the name Vibrio cholerae. Its description in RNAcentral is "partial 23S ribosomal RNA". It matches the Rfam family "Bacterial large subunit ribosomal RNA", at positions 1 to 1294 of the family's 2925-position model. The record is from RNAcentral. Lineage: Bacteria; Pseudomonadati; Pseudomonadota; Gammaproteobacteria; Vibrionales; Vibrionaceae.
GGUUAAGUGACUAAGCGUACACGGUGGAUGCCUGGGCAGUCAGAGGCGAUGAAGGACGUACUAACUUGCGAUAAGCGCAGAUAAGGCAGUAAGAGCCGUUUGAGUCUGCGAUUUCCGAAUGGGGAAACCCAACUGCAUAAGCAGUUACUGUUAACUGAAUACAUAGGUUAACAGAGCAAACCGGGGGAACUGAAACAUCUAAGUACCCCGAGGAGAAGAAAUCAACCGAGAUUCCGGUAGUAGCGGCGAGCGAACCUGGAUUAGCCCUUAAGCACUCGGUGAAGUAGGUGAACAAGCUGGAAAGCUUGGCGAUACAGGGUGAUAGCCCCGUAACCGACGCUUCAUCGAGCGUGAAAUCGAGUAGGGCGGGACACGUGAUAUCCUGUCUGAAUAUGGGGGGACCAUCCUCCAAGGCUAAAUACUCCUGACUGACCGAUAGUGAACCAGUACCGUGAGGGAAAGGCGAAAAGAACCCCUGUGAGGGGAGUGAAAUAGAACCUGAAACCGUGUACGUACAAGCAGUAGGAGCACCUUCGUGGUGUGACUGCGUACCUUUUGUAUAAUGGGUCAGCGACUUAUAUUCAGUGGCAAGGUUAACCGUAUAGGGGAGCCGUAGCGAAAGCGAGUCUUAACUGGGCGCUCAGUCUCUGGAUAUAGACCCGAAACCGGGUGAUCUAGCCAUGGGCAGGUUGAAGGUUGAGUAACAUCAACUGGAGGACCGAACCGACUAAUGUUGAAAAAUUAGCGGAUGACUUGUGGCUAGGGGUGAAAGGCCAAUCAAACUCGGAGAUAGCUGGUUCUCCCCGAAAGCUAUUUAGGUAGCGCCUCGGACGAAUACUACUGGGGGUAGAGCACUGUUAAGGCUAGGGGGUCAUCCCGACUUACCAACCCUUUGCAAACUCCGAAUACCAGUAAGUACUAUCCGGGAGACACACGGCGGGUGCUAACGUCCGUCGUGGAGAGGGAAACAACCCAGACCGCCAGCUAAGGUCCCAAAGUAUUGCUAAGUGGGAAACGAUGUGGGAAGGCUCAGACAGCUAGGAUGUUGGCUUAGAAGCAGCCAUCAUUUAAAGAAAGCGUAAUAGCUCACUAGUCGAGUCGGCCUGCGCGGAAGAUGUAACGGGGCUAAGCAAUACACCGAAGCUGCGGCAAUAUCUUUUAGAUAUUGGGUAGGGGAGCGUUCUGUAAGCCGUUGAAGGUGAAUCGUAAGGUUUGCUGGAGGUAUCAGAAGUGCGAA